Molecule: ribosomal RNA, 219 nt
Filed under: uncultured bacterium
Lineage: Bacteria
Description: partial 16S ribosomal RNA
Rfam family: Bacterial small subunit ribosomal RNA
Source: RNAcentral
UAUAUCGGAACGUGCCCAGUCGUGGGGGAUAACGUAGAGAAAUUUACGCUAAUACCGCAUACGAUCUACGGAUGAAAGCGGGGGACUCGCAAGAGCCUCGCGCGAUUGGAGCGGCUGAUAUCAGAUUAGGUUGUUGGUGAGGUAAAAGCUCACCAAGCCGACGAUCUGUAGCUGGUUUGAGAGAACGACCAGCCACACUGGGACUGAGACACGGCCCAG